RNAcentral lists this ribosomal RNA (245 nucleotides) under uncultured bacterium. RNAcentral's name for it is "partial 16S ribosomal RNA". It matches the Rfam family "Bacterial small subunit ribosomal RNA", at positions 524 to 768 of the family's 1533-position model. The record is from RNAcentral. RNAcentral also lists the same sequence under 1 other name.
UACGUAGGGUGCAGGCGUUAAUCGGAAUUACUGGGCGUAAAGCGUGCGCAGGCGGUUUCUUAAGUCAGAUGUGAAAGCCCCGGGCUUAACCUGGGAACUGCGUUUGAAACUGGGAGACUUGAGUGUGGCAGAGGGGGGUGGAAUUCCACGUGUAGCAGUGAAAUGCGUAGAUAUGUGGAGGAACACCGAUGGCGAAGGCAGCCCCCUGGGUUAACACUGACGCUCAUGCACGAAAGCGUGGGGAG